CGUAGGGUGCGAGCGUUAAUCGGAAUUACUGGGCGUAAAGCGUGCGCAGGCGGUUUUGUAAGACAGAUGUGAAAUCCCCGGGCUCAACCUGGGACCUGCAUUUGUGACUGCAAGGCUAGAGUACGGUAGAGGGGGAUGGAAUUCCGCGUGUAGCAGUGAAAUGCGUAGAUAUGCGGAGGAACACCGAUGGCGAAGGCAAUCCCCUGGACCUGUACUGACGCUCAUGCACGAAAGCGUGGGGAGCAAACAGGAUUAGAUACCCUGGUAGUCCACGCCCUAAACGAUGUCAACUGGUUGUUGGGUCUUUACUGACUCAGUAACGAAGCUAACGCGUGAAGUUGACCGCCUGGGGAGUACGGCCGCGAAGGUUG
Molecule: ribosomal RNA, 371 nt
Filed under: uncultured organism
Description: bacterial SSU rRNA
Rfam family: Bacterial small subunit ribosomal RNA
Source: RNAcentral